RNAcentral lists this ribosomal RNA (468 nucleotides) under uncultured bacterium. RNAcentral describes it as "partial 16S ribosomal RNA". It matches the Rfam family "Bacterial small subunit ribosomal RNA", at positions 28 to 507 of the family's 1533-position model. The record is from RNAcentral.
GACGAACGCUGGCGGCGUGCUUAACACAUGCAAGUCGAACGGAAAGGCCCUGCUUUUGUGGGGUGCUCGAGUGGCGAACGGGUGAGUAACACGUGAGUAACCUGCCCUUGACUUUGGGAUAACUUCAGGAAACUGGGGCUAAUACCGGAUAGGAGCUCCUGCUGCAUGGUGGGGGUUGGAAAGUUUCGGCGGUUGGGGAUGGACUCGCGGCUUAUCAGCUUGUUGGUGGGGUAGUGGCUUACCAAGGCUUUGACGGGUAGCCGGCCUGAGAGGGUGACCGGCCACAUUGGGACUGAGAUACGGACCAGAGUCCUACGGGAGGCAGUAGUGGGGAAUAUUGCACAAUGGGCGGAAGCCUGAUGCAGAAACGCCGCGGGCGGGAUGACGGCCUUCGGGUUGUAAACAGCUUUCGCCUGUGACGAAGCGGGAGUGACGGUAAUGGGUAAAGAAGCACCGGCUAACUACGUG